RNAcentral lists this ribosomal RNA (253 nucleotides) under uncultured bacterium. RNAcentral describes it as "partial 16S ribosomal RNA". It matches the Rfam family "Bacterial small subunit ribosomal RNA", at positions 524 to 776 of the family's 1533-position model. The record is from RNAcentral.
GACGAAGGUGGCGAGCGUUACUCGGAAUCACUAGGCGUAAAGCGCGUGUAGGUGGGUGCUUAAGUCCGUCGUGAAAUUUCCCGGCUUAACCGGGAAAGGUCGACGGAUACUGGGCAUCUUGAGUGAGGCAGGGGGUACUGGAAUUCCCGGUGUAGCGGUGAAAUGCGUAGAUAUCAGGAAGAACACCAACGGCGAAGGCAGCUCGCUGGGACGGAACUGACGCUAAGGCGCGAAAGCGUGGGGAGCGAACAGG